This 1113-nucleotide ribosomal RNA is filed under the name uncultured bacterium. Its description in RNAcentral is "bacterial SSU rRNA". It matches the Rfam family "Bacterial small subunit ribosomal RNA", at positions 170 to 1270 of the family's 1533-position model. The record is from RNAcentral.
AUGGGAACAAUUUGAAUCGCAUGAUUCAAAUUUAAAAGAUGGCUUCGGCUAUCACUUUGGGAUGGACCUGCGGCGCAUUAGCUUGUUGGUAGGGUAACGGCCUACCAAGGCUGUGAUGCGUAGCCGAGUUGAGAGACUGAUCGGCCACAAUGGAACUGAGACACGGUCCAUACUCCUACGGGAGGCAGCAGUAGGGAAUCUUCCACAAUGGGCGCAAGCCUGAUGGAGCAACACCGCGUGAGUGAAGAAGGGUUUCGGCUCGUAAAGCUCUGUUGUUAGAGAAGAACGUGCGUGAGAGUAACUGUUCACGCAGUGACGGUAUCUAACCAGAAAGUCACGGCUAACUACGUGCCAGCAGCCGCGGUAAUACGUAGGUGGCAAGCGUUAUCCGGAUUUAUUGGGCGUAAAGCGAGCGCAGGCGGUUUGAUAAGUCUGAUGUGAAAGCCUUUGGCUUAACCAAAGAAGUGCAUCGGAAACUGUCAGACUUGAGUGCAGAAGAGGACAGUGGAACUCCAUGUGUAGCGGUGGAAUGCGUAGAUAUAUGGAAGAACACCGGUGGCGAAGGCGGCUGUCUGGUCUGCAACUGACGCUGAGGCUCGAAAGCAUGGGUAGCGAACAGGAUUAGAUACCCUGGUAGUCCAUGCCGUAAACGAUGAGUGCUAGGUGUUGGAGGGUUUCCGCCCUUCAGUGCCGCAGCUAACGCAUUAAGCACUCCGCCUGGGGAGUACGACCGCAAGGUUGAAACUCAAAGGAAUUGACGGGGGCCCGCACAAGCGGUGGAGCAUGUGGUUUAAUUCGAAGCUACGCGAAGAACCUUACCAGGUCUUGACAUCUUGCGCCAACCCUAGAGAUAGGGCGUUUCCUUCGGGAACGCAAUGACAGGUGGUGCAUGGUCGUCGUCAGCUCGUGUCGUGAGAUGUUGGGUUAAGUCCCGCAACGAGCGCAACCCUUGUUACUAGUUGCCAGCAUUUAGUUGGGCACUCUAGUGAGACUGCCGGUGACAAACCGGAGGAAGGUGGGGACGACGUCAGAUCAUCAUGCCCCUUAUGACCUGGGCUACACACGUGCUACAAUGGACGGUACAACGAGUCGCGAACUCGCGAGGGCAAGCUA